GACGAACGCUGGCGGCGUGCUUAACACAUGCAAGUCGAACGGAAAGGCCCUGCUUUUGUGGGGUGCUCGAGUGGCGAACGGGUGAGUAACACGUGAGUAACCUGCCCUUGACUUUGGGAUAACUUCAGGAAACUGGGGCUAAUACCGGAUAGGAGCUCCUGCUGCAUGGUGGGGGUUGGAAAGUUUCGGCGGUUGGGGAUGGACUCGCGGCUUAUCAGCUUGUUGGUGAGGUAGUGGCUUACCAAGGCUUUGACGGGUAGCCGGCCUGGGAGGGUGACCGGCCACAUUGGGACUGAGAUACGGCCCAGACUCCUACGGGAGGCAGCAGUGGGGAAUAUGGCACAAUGGGCGGAAGCCUGAUGCAGCAACGCCGCGUGCGGGAUGACGGCCUUCGGGUUGUAAACCGCUUUCGCCUGUGACGAAGCGUGAGUGACGGUAAUGGGUAAAGAAGCACCGGCUAACUACGUG
RNAcentral lists this ribosomal RNA (468 nucleotides) under uncultured bacterium. RNAcentral's name for it is "partial 16S ribosomal RNA". It matches the Rfam family "Bacterial small subunit ribosomal RNA", at positions 28 to 507 of the family's 1533-position model. The record is from RNAcentral.